This 336-nucleotide unclassified non-coding RNA is filed under the name soil metagenome. RNAcentral describes it as "partial contains 5.8S ribosomal RNA, internal transcribed spacer 2, and large subunit ribosomal RNA". The stretch from base 1 to 120 matches the Rfam family "5.8S ribosomal RNA", at positions 35 to 154 of the family's 154-position model. The record is from RNAcentral.
GAUGAAGAACGUAGCAAAAUGCGAUAAGUAAUGUGAAUUGCAGAAUUCAGUGAAUCAUCGAAUCUUUGAACGCACAUUGCGCCCGCCAGUAUUCUGGCGGGCAUGCCUGUUCGAGCGUCAUUUCAACCAUCAAGCCCCAGGCUUGUGUUGGGGACCUGCGGCUGCCGCAGGCCCUGAAAACCAGUGGCGGGCUCGCUAGUCACACCGAGCGUAGUAGCAUACACAUCGCUCAGGGCGUGCUGCGGGUUCCGGCCGUUAAACCCCUUUUUUACCCAAGGUUGACCUCGGAUCGGGUAGGAAGACCCGCUGAACUUAAGCAUAUCAAUAAGCGGAGGA